GCACACUCCUGCCGGUGUGCAAGGAAGCCGUUGAUCCUAUUAUCUGUUGCCUGAUCAGCAGAAAAGGCAGAUUGGCGGCUGAAGGGGAGGGUUAAGGGAGGACUCAGGGAGAGGAGGACUCGAGCAGCUCAGUGUAUACUAGAGGGGGAGUUAGUAGAGUUUUAGAAGGUAUGUUUGGUGUUGUCAGUGUAUACUAGAGGGGGAGUUAGUAGAGUUUUAGAAGGUAUGUUUGGUGUUGUCAGUGUAUACUAGAGGGGGAGUUAGUAGAGUUUUAGAAGGUAUGUUUGGUGUUGUCAGUGUAUACUAGAGGGGGAGUUAGUAGAGUUUUAGAAGGUAUGUUUGGUGUUGUCAGUGUAUACUAGAGGGGGAGUUAGUAGAGUUUUAGGAGGUACGUUUGGUGUUGUCAGUGUAUACUAGAGGGGGAGUUAGUAGAGUUUUAGGAGGUAUGUUUGGUGUUGUCAGUGUAUACUAGAGGGGGAGUUAGUAGAGUUUUAGGAGGUAUGUUUGGUGUUGUCAGUGUAUACUAGAGGGGGAGUUAGUAGAGUUUUAGGAGGUAUGUUUGGUGUUGUCAGUGUAUACUAGAGGGGGAGUUAGUAGAGUUUUAGAAGGUAUGUUUGGUGUUGUCAGUGUAUACUAGAGGGGGAGUUAGUAGAGUUUUAGGAGGUAUGUUUGGUGUUGUCAGUGUAUACUAGAGGGGGAGUUAGUAGAGUUUUAGGAGGUAUGUUUGGUGUUGUCAGUGUAUACUAGAGGGGGAGUUAGUGGAGUUUUAGGAGGUAUGUUUGGUGUUGUCAGUGUAUACUAGAGGGGGAGUUAGUAGAGUUUUAGGAGGUAUGUUUGGUGUUGUCAGUGUAUACUAGAGGGGGAGUUAGUGGAGUUUUAGGAGGUAUGUUUGGUGUUGUCAGUGUAUACUAGAGGGGGAGUUAGUAGAGUUUUAGGAGGUAUGUUUGGUGUUGUCAGUGUAUACUAGAGGGGGAGUUAGUAGAGUUUUAGGAGGUAUGUUUGGUGUUGUCAGUGUAUACUAGAGGGGGAGUUAGUGGAGUUUUAGGAGGUAUGUUUGGUGUUGUCAGUGUAUACUAGAGGGGGAGUUAGUGGAGUUUUAGGAGGUAUGUUUGAUGGCACAAUUUGAUUGGCUGCUGUCUGAUUCAAAAUUGAAUUUGUUAAAUGAAGAGUUGAUGCGCUGCACACUUUUUUAAUAGCAUCAUUUUUUAUAUUUGGGCUUGGGGAGGUUUUCAAGCCCAAACCGAGAUCUACAGGUCUAACCCUCCUUCCUCCUCCCUCCCUUCCACCUACAAACAGGACUUACUGACACCGCUAUCACACACCAGCACACCCGCAUCCCUCUUUCACUCUCUCUCUGUCUCAUUCUUUUUCCCUCUUUCUCUCCUCCCCCUUCCAUUCCUCUCCAUUCUUUGUCUCGUGAAAAUUAAUAAACAAGGCAAAUACCCGUCACCCACAAAGCAAACCAAUACAGAUUGUAGGCCAGUGGGUGUUCUUGUAUUGGGCUCUGCUUAAGGUUAAAUAUCUUUAAUCCAACCAGGCUGGAAAACUAAAUAUUCUCCCUAGCCAAAUCCUCUUUCUGCCCCCCCAACACCCCCACCCCUCCUCAUACUCCACCCUCCUCUCUUUCUCUAUUCUCCCCUUAGUCUUCUCUCUCUUUAUAGUUGCCCGCUCUUCACUUUGGGGCAAGACGUUAGUUGUUUAUGCUCUAGUUAAUUUAUUCCCUCUUCACUUUGGGGCAAGACGUUUGUUGUUUAUGCUCUAGUUAAUUUAUUCCCUCUUCACUUUGGGGCAAGACGUUUGUUGUUUAUGCUCUAGUUAAUUUAUUCCCUCUUCACUUUGGGGCAAGACGUUUGUUGUUUAUGCUCUAGUUAAUUUACUCCCUCUUCACUUUGGGGCAAGACGUUAGUUGUUUAUGCUCUAGUUAAUUUAUUCCCUCUUCACUUUGGGGCAAGACGUUUGUUGUUUAUGCUCUAGUUAAUUUAUUCCCUCUUCACUUUGGGGCAAGACGUUUGUUGUUUAUGCUCUAGUUAAUUUAUUCCCUCUUCACUUUGGG
This is a long non-coding RNA of Oncorhynchus keta (chum salmon), 2053 nucleotides long. RefSeq lists it as uncharacterized. NCBI's taxonomy places the organism in Eukaryota, Metazoa, Chordata, Actinopteri, Salmoniformes, Salmonidae. The record is from RefSeq and is a predicted model, not a curated record. The transcript is spliced from 3 exons.